GGCUGUAUAGUGUAGUGGUUUAGCACUCGGGAUUUUGAUAUCGACCCGGGUUCGAACCGGCUUAGAGUACGUCAUUCCCGCAACCCCGGUUCGAACCCGGGUACGGCCU
Ceratobasidium sp. 370 is the source of this 109-nucleotide non-coding RNA. The record is from the annotation of a GenBank genome assembly. NCBI's taxonomy places the organism in Eukaryota, Fungi, Basidiomycota, Agaricomycetes, Cantharellales, Ceratobasidiaceae.